UGCAUCCUAACUGUAAAUUGAUGUUAAAUUCACGGACAGGAUGUGGUUUAUAGGGGGAGAGGGCUGGAACUUUCUGUAGCCACAGAGGCGUUUUAGUUUUCUGCAUAAAGAUAGGGGUUCGAGAAAAUUUACCCCUACAGCUACAACUCUACAAUGACGAAAAUUGGAAUAUACUCCUCAGCCUAAGAACUUCUGCAUUCAAUGCUUUCCUUCUCACCCUCUUGUUCUCUGUAGCGGGGGAAGAGGAGGUGGAAUGGUGGAUGCUGCUCUCAUCGUUGACCACAUUGUUCUAAGCAGCAGCACCACUUUCUCCAUACAUGCUCUACUUUCUUUUAGAGGUGUUUAUCAACACCAGAUUCUCAGAUUAGUUGUGUCACCUCUGUGUAUUACAAUAUAAACUUCUUAUCAAUGGAGUGGAAUAAAGAGCAUACAUCCAUGUCUGCUACUCUGAUUUUAAGUUGUGUAUAAUGCUGUCAAUGCAAGGAGUAUAACAUAAAGAAACUCCAAACACCCAACACUCCAUGCUUGUAUGGUCCAUUACAAAUGAACCCCUCUCUCUCUCUCUCUCCCACCUUUUUUGGAUUUUUUUUUUCUUUCUUUUAUUUGUUUGUCACUUUCAGCCUAUAGUGUAGUCUCAUAUGCAAUCUUAAUUAUUGAAGAAUAUUGAAACAAAAGGCACCAUAAGAGUAAUUAUAUGGAAGUUUUGAUCAAAAUCAGCAGAUUUGUUAACCAAAAACCUAAAAACCAUUGGUUAAACUUCAGCUCAUGUAAACAGAAAAACUUGUUUGCAUUUCUAAUAUCAAAAUUCUAGUUGUUUUCAGCUUAGCAGAGCUCAGAAGCUAGAUAUUUAAGUGCUUAAUUGUACUAGAGUCCAAAAGCCAUUUCACUACAAGGGACCACCUAUUGAGUAAAGGUGAGGGUGUAUAUCCAGUGAUUGAUUGAAUGAUCUGUAUUGAUGCUGGUAUAACAUGAAGGAGCACAUUAUGUAGCUUUGCUUGUGUCUUUCAUCUAUGUGCUGAUCCUUUACCCAUUGUUUAGAUUUGGUGAGAUCAUCAUAAAUUUUUCACUUUAAUUAUAUGACUGUAUUACAUGCAAAAGUUAUGCCAUUACUGUCAUUUCAGGGUAUAUACAUAGGCAUCUGAUUAAUGGUUUGACAUAAAUGUCCCAACAUAUUGUCAAGGAAACAAAUGCCAAAGACAGAAAAGCAUUUUGUGGCAUUGCUAUUGUUUUACUCCUGAUGUCUGCUUCUCUUUUGGCAGAACAUGUAUUGUGGGGAAAGUGUGAAAAAGCCAAGCUUACACAAUUUCAGAUGUAAUUCAUCAUUAAGUGGAAAAUAUGAACCCAGAGGGAAGGGGCUUAAUGUACAGUCAACUGGGAGAGUGGGCUGAGGGAAUGACUAAGCCACGUACUAUUACCACCCACUGUCCAUUCUCCUCCUUUAACCAUAAAAUUUGUACUUCCAUUCUUUUUGUUGGGGAUUGGGGGUGAGGGAAUGUUUGGAGAUAAAAUUUGUGAAUGAAUGAAGGUUAAGCGUUCUGUUCAUACUCUAUAUCUGUCACUACAAAACCAUCCAACUUCUCGAGUACUUGAAUACAUCUCAUGGGAAGGUCAGAUUGCUGGAGAACUAUGUAUACCCUAAUCAGGACUAAGCAGUUGGCUAACAAGUAUCAGCUGAGAUUCCAUUAAGUAGGUACUUUCCUUCGACUUCCUGAACCACCAUUGAUUCUCAUGAUUGUG
This is a non-coding RNA of Nelumbo nucifera (sacred lotus), 1737 nucleotides long. The record is from RefSeq and is a predicted model, not a curated record. NCBI's taxonomy places the organism in Eukaryota, Viridiplantae, Streptophyta, Magnoliopsida, Proteales, Nelumbonaceae.